Pestalotiopsis sp. NC0098 is the source of this 94-nucleotide non-coding RNA. Lineage: Eukaryota; Fungi; Ascomycota; Sordariomycetes; Amphisphaeriales; Sporocadaceae. The record is from the annotation of a GenBank genome assembly.
UCCGAUGUCGUCUAGUGGUUUAGGAUUUCGCGUUUUCAGAACCUCUCAGGCACAGAAGACCGCGACGGCCAGGGUUCGAACCCCUGCAUCGGAG